Molecule: ribosomal RNA, 497 nt
Filed under: uncultured bacterium
Lineage: Bacteria
Description: partial 16S ribosomal RNA
Rfam family: Bacterial small subunit ribosomal RNA
Source: RNAcentral
GAUGAACGCUGGCGGCGUGCCUAAUACAUGCAAGUCGAGCGAACGGACGAGAAGCUUGCUUCUCUGAUGUUAGCGGCGGACGGGUGAGUAACACGUGGAUAACCUACCUAUAAGACUGGGAUAACUUCGGGAAACCGGAGCUAAUACCGGAUAAUAUUUUGAACCGCAUUGUUCAAAAGUGAAAUACGGUCUUGCUGUCACUUAUAGAUGGAUCCGCGCUGCAUUAGCUAGUUGGUAAGGUAACGGCUUACCAAGGCAACGAUGCAUAGCCGACCUGAGAGGGUGAUCGGCCAGCUGGGAAGUGAGAAACGGUCCAGACUCCGACGGGAGGCAGCAGUAGGGAAUCUUACGCAAUGGGGGAAAGCCUGACGGAGCAACGCCGGGUGAGUGAUGAAGGUCUUCGGAUCGUAAAACCCUGUUAUUAGGGAAGAACAUAUGUGUAAGUAACUGUGCACAUCUUGACGGUACCUAAUCAGAAAGCCACGGCUAACUACGUG